Molecule: ribosomal RNA, 20 nt
Filed under: Dibothriocephalus nihonkaiensis
Lineage: Eukaryota; Metazoa; Platyhelminthes; Cestoda; Diphyllobothriidea; Diphyllobothriidae
Description: partial 28S ribosomal RNA
Source: RNAcentral
CCUGACCUCGGAUCAGUCGU